Molecule: non-coding RNA, 71 nt
Organism: Phrynosoma platyrhinos (Desert horned lizard)
Lineage: Eukaryota; Metazoa; Chordata; Lepidosauria; Squamata; Phrynosomatidae
Source: the annotation of a GenBank genome assembly
GCCAAUGUGGCAUAGUGGUUUGCAUUUUGGACUGCAACUCUGGAGACCAGAGUUCAAUUCCCCACUUGGCA